CAGUCGCCGCGGGAAUACGUAGGUCCCGAGCGUUGUCCGGAUUUAUUGGGCGUAAAGCGAGCGCAGGCGGUUAGAUAAGUCUGAAGUUAAAGGCUGUGGCUUAACCAUAGUACGCUUUGGAAACUGUUUAACUUGAGUGCAAGAGGGGAGAGUGGAAUUCCAUGCGUAGCGGUGAAAUGCGUAGAUAUAUGGAGGAACACCGGUGGCGAAAGCGGCUCUCUGGCUUGUAACUGACGCUGAGGCUCGAAAGCGUGGGGAGCAAACAGGAUUAGAUACCCCCGUAGUCCCUGUCUCUUAUACA
RNAcentral lists this ribosomal RNA (301 nucleotides) under uncultured bacterium. Its description in RNAcentral is "partial 16S ribosomal RNA". It matches the Rfam family "Bacterial small subunit ribosomal RNA", at positions 509 to 808 of the family's 1533-position model. The record is from RNAcentral.